AACGGCCGUACCAUGCUGAAUAUACCGGUUCUCGUUAGAUCACCGAAGUCAAGCAUCGUGGGCGUGGUCAGUACUUUUCAGGGGUGGGUGACCACCUGGGGAACCGCGUGCCGUU
Molecule: ribosomal RNA, 115 nt
Filed under: Caerostris darwini
Lineage: Eukaryota; Metazoa; Arthropoda; Arachnida; Araneae; Araneidae
Source: RNAcentral